AUCCAGCUGACCAGUCCCAAAUAGGACGAAACGUGCGUCCUGGAU
Schistosoma rodhaini is the source of this 45-nucleotide non-coding RNA. NCBI's taxonomy places the organism in Eukaryota, Metazoa, Platyhelminthes, Trematoda, Strigeidida, Schistosomatidae. The record is from Rfam.